GUUUAGACAUCCUGGAGGCCGGAAGCAACAGGAGCACUAAUCAUGUAGGCAGAGAACUAAGUUCAACACCCCUCUGCUUUUCUGGAAGAGGUGGGCAUACAGCACUGCCCUUGUUCCCUUAACCUUGCAGGCUAUCCACUAACUCUCCCACAGGUGACUCCUGUGUGUCCCUUGAGAAGAUGGCACAUGGGACAAGUGAUGAGUCUAUGGAAUAGGAGUGUAUCCAGAAGACACCUGCUAGGUGUCUCCAGAUCUGGAUCAUGGGAAUCCUGCUUCACUUUCUAUCCUCAAGUAUUGUGAGCCCCAUGAGACCAGGCUGGGAGCUUGGCCUCCCAAGACCUACCCAACACAGGCACCAGGACACAGACAGGGCCAGAGUCACAUACUUGAACAGAUGGCCAGGGUCAAAAGCUAUUUGUGUUUGGUUUUGAGUACGGGUGGGAUCACCCUUGCUUUCAUGUUAGAAAUCUGUAUUCUGGAUGCUCUGGCCUUUGAAGGGUGUGGGAAGACAGCCUCAGGCUAGGCCACGCUGCUGCUGACACAGGGCCAGAAGGGCUGGGGCUGAAAGGAAACAUCUGUGAGGGGUUGUGUGAGGGCCAGCUGCAUGCAGAGCCAGAAUUUCACAUGUUUAAGCAGAUCUAGGUGGGGUGCCCAGAUCUUGUUUUGUCCAGUUUUGACUUUAAAUGUUUUCAAAGCGGUGGAGGAAAACAGAAAAAUAAACUGCAUUGUGCCUUGACCCUCUUCCCAGUUUUCCACCUCUGCUUCUACACUUAGCACAAUAAGAUAGCCUUGAGGGUGGAGGGCUUAGCACACAUUUCCUUAGGGAAAUAUUAAUCUAGUGUGUCUGUCCUGGCUGAAACCCAGCCCUCCCUGCUUUCUUCUGACACAUGAUGGGGACAGUACCACAGAUGUGUAGUUGGAGGGGGGGGAGGGGGUAAAAGUGAUAGGGCUCCAGGUGGCCUGUCAGAAUCCACUGUGGCCGGCUGCACUGGUGCUGUGCGCCUGGCUAGAGAGAAGUGGAGUAGACAAGAGAAUAUGAAUGCUUUACAGAUCCAGGGUCAGCAUGGGUAGCAGAUGAGCCAGAAUUGCUGUUAUGUAUCCGUCCAUGCUUUGUACAGGGAAGUGCAAACUGCCCAUAAGGGCUUCAUACAUAGGCUGUAUUCUGAGAGCUGCACC
Molecule: long non-coding RNA, 1176 nt
Filed under: Mus musculus (house mouse)
Lineage: Eukaryota; Metazoa; Chordata; Mammalia; Rodentia; Muridae
Description: long non-coding RNA chr9:123138465-123139641
Source: RNAcentral